GGCGCCUGCUUGGAGCGCCACCCAGGGACACCAGUAGAUCACGUGUCUCAGUUUUCCACAUGGUGCUCUCCUUCCCGAGAGGUAUUCUGUCUAUUCCCGUGUGCCCUUUCCCCUGUUUCCGGUCCGUCAGCCCAGAUGAUCUGUGAGAGCGAGUGAAGACGCGAGAAUGUGAGUGAGCGGAUGGGGCUAGCAACACGGUAAAGUGCGCCCGUUUCCUUUGUUUGUCCAAACGGUCGGGUUUCUGUCCGCAAACACUGUGUACUGUGUGAGUAGUUCUUUGGAGAACUUUCGACCCCUGCCUAUGUCUGCCUUUCUUCCUGGUUGAUUGUGAAGGCCCCUUUCCCUCCCCAACCCCUGAACCCUACUCCUUUGACCAGAAUUAGUCCUUUGGUGAAAUCAAG
Molecule: long non-coding RNA, 401 nt
Filed under: Rattus norvegicus (Norway rat)
Lineage: Eukaryota; Metazoa; Chordata; Mammalia; Rodentia; Muridae
Description: long non-coding RNA NONRATT000735
Source: RNAcentral